AACCGCGCAUGGCUCAUUAAAUCACACCUAAUGUACCUGGAAGUUCCAUUACUUGGAUAACUGCGGUAAUUCUGGAGCUAAUACAUGCUAAAGAGCCCUGACUCACGGAGGGGCGCAUUUAUUAGAUCAAAACCAAACGCUUCGGCGUUCAUUGGUGAAUCUGAAUAACUUUUGCUGAUCGUAUGGCUCAACGCCGACGACGUUCCAGUCCAAGGUGUGCCCUAUCAACUUUCGACUGUGAUAUAGACGCUCACAGUGGUUUUGACGGGUAACGGGGAAUUAGGGUUCGAUUCCGGAGAGGGAGCCUGAGAAACGGCUACCACUUCUAAGGAAGGCAGCAGGCACGCAAAUUACCCAAUGGUCGAAGACCGAGGUAGUGACGAAAAAUAACGAUACCGGUCUCUUCCGAGGCCCGGUAAUCGGAAUGAGUACACUUUAAAUCCUUUAACGAGGAACAAUU
RNAcentral lists this ribosomal RNA (460 nucleotides) under marine Metazoa environmental sample. Its description in RNAcentral is "SSU rRNA". It matches the Rfam family "Eukaryotic small subunit ribosomal RNA", at positions 85 to 549 of the family's 1831-position model. Lineage: Eukaryota; Metazoa. The record is from RNAcentral.